RNAcentral lists this non-coding RNA (163 nucleotides) under uncultured Succinivibrio sp. The record is from RNAcentral. Lineage: Bacteria; Pseudomonadati; Pseudomonadota; Gammaproteobacteria; Aeromonadales; Succinivibrionaceae.
ACGGUGAUGUGCAGGCUGAAAGAAGCAAAUAGCAAAGAUCCGAACCGACGCACAGAAAUUAUCUGAGGCGGCACAUGACGGAUGAGCGUGCAAAAUAACGUUAAGUCCGAUAUCCUGACAGAGUCAUGGACGUAAAGAAGGCGGUAACGGAUUGAAGGUUAAU